Non-coding RNA from Miniopterus natalensis, 916 nucleotides. The record is from RefSeq and is a predicted model, not a curated record. NCBI's taxonomy places the organism in Eukaryota, Metazoa, Chordata, Mammalia, Chiroptera, Miniopteridae.
CUAUCUUCCCCAGAGCCUUCACUUUCCCAGCCCGACCAUGUAAGUUUUUAGCAAACUCCUUAAUGCUAACAGUGGAAUUAGAGAAUAGAGAUAGAAAUUUAAAAAUAGAGAAGAAAUAAGAGAGAAAUUCAGAACGCCUGAGAGGUUGAGAAAGAAAAAUUCUAUACUCUCUCUAAAUAUUGGGAACCAAAAUAUAUCUCCUUAGCUGUACAGUCAAGAACUCUACUACUAGAUUUUCUCUCCUCUCGCUGCUACAUUCCACUUAUCCUUGUGUGCCCGUCAAGUUUGCACCCACUGAUGCUUAUGUCCUGUUCUAUACUCCAUUAGUCAUUCCCUUUUGUGCCAAAAUCUCAGAAACUUCCCCUUUAACAUUUGAAACGCUAAUAUGUCCACAAUUGAGCCAACAUUCUUCCAAACUCCUCCUCCAGGUACCACAUUUUUUUAAGUCACCCAGACUCAAAUGUUGACAUAAAAGGGUGCAGGGAAACUUGAUCUUGCACUUUUCAUCCACAAUUCCAUUAGUUGCUUUUGCCAAGUACUGUCAUUUCUACUCAGAUUUCAUAUUUCAACAACCUCCGAUCUGAUCUCCCUGUCUCCACUCCAGCCCAUGACCUCCGGACUGUGGCCUGCAAGUUCCUAUGGCUUGAAAGCACACUGGACCUCACUCAGUCAUGUACUGGGGUGGAGAGGAAAAGGCAAAACGACAUUCCAUCCCAUCUCUUCCUUUGAUUAGUAAAAUGAGUUCUGACCCAAAUCAGGAGCCAUUUCUUCUCAGAGACUCCUCUCAAGGCUACUAGGACUCCUCUUGCCCUGGGGAACCCUAUAAUACAUCUUGCAGAACUGCCACAGGGAAGGGACAUUCCUCUGGGCUCUAACUAAAUGUGUGUCAAUAAAAUAAUGACUGUGUGUCCUCAUU